CAAUAGCGUAUAUUAAAGUUGUUGCAGUUAAAAAGCUCGUAGUUGGAUUUCUGGUGGGAGCGAUCGGUCUGGCGCUUAGCGCGAGUACUUGCAUCGUCUCCGGCCAUCCUUGGGGAGAGUCUGUCUGGCAUUAGGUUGUCGGGCAGAGGAUCCUCAUCGUUUACUGUGAAAAAAUUAGAGUGUUCAAAGCAGGCUUAUGCCGUUGAAUAUGUUAGCAUGGAAUAAUAAGAUAGGACUUUGGUACUAUUUUGUUGGUUUGCGCACCAAAGUAAUGAUUAAUAGGGACAGUUGGGGGUAUUCGUAUUCCGUUGUCAGAGGUGAAAUUCUUGGAUUUACGGAAGACGAACUACUGCGAAAGCAUUUACCAAGGAUGUUUUCACUAA
RNAcentral lists this ribosomal RNA (383 nucleotides) under uncultured eukaryote. Its description in RNAcentral is "partial 18S ribosomal RNA". It matches the Rfam family "Eukaryotic small subunit ribosomal RNA", at positions 592 to 976 of the family's 1831-position model. The record is from RNAcentral.